RNAcentral lists this ribosomal RNA (423 nucleotides) under uncultured bacterium. RNAcentral's name for it is "bacterial SSU rRNA". It matches the Rfam family "Bacterial small subunit ribosomal RNA", at positions 359 to 773 of the family's 1533-position model. The record is from RNAcentral.
GAAUUGUUCGCAAUGGGCGCAAGCCUGACGACGCAACGCCGCGUGGAGGAUGAAGGUCUUCGGAUUGUAAACUCCUGUUGAUCGGGGCGAACAACCACCGGGAUAACACCCCGGAGGUCUGACGGUACCGACUGAGGCAGCCCCGGCUAACUCCGUGCCAGCAGCCGCGGUAAUACGUAGGGUGCGGGCGUUAAUCGGAAUUACUGGGCGUAAAGCGUGCGCAGGCGGCCUCUUAAGUCAGAUGUGAAAUCCCCGGGCUUAACCUGGGAACUGCGUUUGAAACUGGGAGGCUAGAGUGUGGAAGAGGGGGGUGGAAUUCCAGGUGUAGCAGUGAAAUGCGUAGAGAUCUGGAGGAACACCGAUGGCGAAGGCAGCCCCCUGGGCUGACACUGACGCUCAUGCACGAAAGCGUGGGGAGCAAAC